This 253-nucleotide ribosomal RNA is filed under the name uncultured bacterium. Its description in RNAcentral is "partial 16S ribosomal RNA". It matches the Rfam family "Bacterial small subunit ribosomal RNA", at positions 524 to 776 of the family's 1533-position model. The record is from RNAcentral.
UACGUAGGGUGCGAGCGUUGUCCGGAAUUAUUGGGCGUAAAGGGCUCGUAGGCGGUUUGUCGCGUCGGGAGUGAAAUCAUCUGGCUUAACUGGGUGCUUGCUUUCGAUACGGGCAGACUAGAGGUAUGCAGGGGAGAACGGAAUUCCUGGUGUAGCGGUGAAAUGCGCAGAUAUCAGGAGGAACACCGGUGGCGAAGGCGGUUCUCUGGGCCGGAACUGACGCUGAGGAGCGAAAGCGUGGGUAGCAAACAGG